RNAcentral lists this long non-coding RNA (219 nucleotides) under Apteryx owenii (little spotted kiwi). Its description in RNAcentral is "lncRNA (ENSAOWG00000014738.1)". The record is from RNAcentral. Lineage: Eukaryota; Metazoa; Chordata; Aves; Apterygiformes; Apterygidae.
ACCAUCAGUCUGUGUAGGACUUACGUAUCCUGACAAUGUCUAGACACUCAUAUAAAUCCUGGGAAUUUUCAGUAUGCUGUCUGGAAGACUCACAAUACCACUGCAGCAGCAGAAAUGCAUUCUGUUAGUCAGGAAAGACUGAAGAAAUUUGAUUGAAAUUACAAAAUCAGGUUGCUAAGCCGAGUGCUCGUGAUAUGAUCCAGCUAGCUUAUAGGGUAU